AAUAUAACACAGGAGAAAGUAAAAUGUAGCAAAAUUCACUGUGGUCUAAAUGUCUUGGAAAUACACCUGACAUCCAAAAGUAUGGUUGUCGCAUAACUUAAAGAUAAGAUUGAAUCUAAACUUUCUCACACUGUACUGUACCUUUGGGAUGGAAUACAAAUUUCUAGGGAGCAUCAAAAAGCAAUAUACAUUGAGCAAUCAUCUUGCUUAACUUGGUCAUUUGGCCAAAAAACAGUUUCCUGUUCAUGGCAAUGCCAUCUCACCUAAAGCCACACAUGAUUCUGAGUUAUCCAAUUGCAUACUUCUAACAGUUAUAUACUUCAAGACACUCGCCUUUUACCGUUUAGACAUCCUUGUAAAUAUGGAGACUAAUGAUGGGAGGCAGCUCUAGCUUGAAGCACGUACAGAUUCACAAAUAAUAAGGUUAUGGACAGUGACAACAGGACCCUGCGCAUAUAAGAUUAUCCCUGAAUUCAGGAUUUGCUGGUCCACCACUUCAUAAAAAUUACCAGUCGGGCUGAUAAUUACUAGAAGAAAUCAAAUUCGAGGUAGUUAUCAGAACCCUUUUGGCUGGGAGCUACUGCUGCUGGAACAGUCUUUUGAUUGGUAGAUGGUGCUGGGACUGGUAGUCUCUCAAAUUCAACCGGUUUAGGCACCUCGGGAGGGCUAGCACAGCGUAUUAGUGCCCAAUUAACCCCUUCAAAGAAAGGGUGUUGUUUUAUCUCAGUUGCCCCUCUUUUGUAUGCCAAUCUGUUCUGUGGUUCUUUUAUGAGUAAACCUCUAAUAAGAUCCCUUGCUGCAAAACUAACAACUGGUGAUUCUGGAAAUCUAAGAGGUUGCCCGACUACAUUGAAUAAUGUAGCUCGGUUACCAGAUCCUUUAAAUGGAGUUUUACCAAACAAGAGCUCGUAGAGAAAGAU
This 920-nucleotide unclassified non-coding RNA is filed under the name Hevea brasiliensis (rubber tree). The record is from RNAcentral. Lineage: Eukaryota; Viridiplantae; Streptophyta; Magnoliopsida; Malpighiales; Euphorbiaceae.